RNAcentral lists this unclassified non-coding RNA (431 nucleotides) under fungal sp. RNAcentral describes it as "partial internal transcribed spacer region". The stretch from base 1 to 46 matches the Rfam family "Eukaryotic small subunit ribosomal RNA", at positions 1786 to 1831 of the family's 1831-position model. Lineage: Eukaryota; Fungi. The record is from RNAcentral.
AAGUCGUAACAAGGUUUCCGUAGGUGAACCUGCGGAAGGAUCAUUAACACGUUAUCCACGUUAUCAACCAAAUGCGAACUUGUUUUCACGUCUCCCUUUGCAAUUUGAAUGAAUUGGAACCAGUUUGAGGGAAUUGAUGUGGAUUGCAGUCAAAUGCAAUCGGCCUUCCUGGUAUACUAACGAACACUGAAAAGUGAUUGUUGACAAUUGUAUCUUAUUGAUUAAAAGGCCAAAUUUCUUUCGCUAUUUCGAUCUCACAUCAUGAUCAAUGAAAUAGCUGAAAGAGAAAAACCAUAUAAACCAUUUUCACCACCUUUUUGCUAGUUGACUUUUUAUCUGUGAUCGUUUUGCUUUUUAGCAAUGCAGUCGCACGUUUAAAUUACUUGAACGUUAAAAAUAUACAACUCUUAGCAAUGGAUAUCUUGGUUCUC